CGGAGAAGGGAGUUCCCGACUCUCUUAGGAUUGAGACAGUCUCCUGUUAAUCUGAAAAAAGGCUACUCUAUCUGCCAUCUCAUCGGCUAUUGCCUGGAUACUUGGUGAGUGGGGAAAAUCUGAAAAAACAUGGCGGAUUUUAGAAGAUUUGCUAUGCAAGAAUCGACUAAUGUCAAAACACAAUGGAAGGCUGACUUCCGUAAUUAUCUGCUGGUUCGUUACGCCUGUACGGGACUUUUACAAAUGAUUGUUGGUUCUUUUAUUACUGAAUGCAUAUAAGAAUCGACUGCAAGCUGCUCUGAAGGAAGAACCUGGCCAUAUAAAAGUUAAUUUAAGAAUCUGUUGUUCCUGUAAACCGAAGCUUGUUUGCUUUUCCCGAACAGAUGAGAAAGUUUCUUCAGAAAAUACAGUCCGGAAGAGCCCAAGGAAUCGAAUUUAACAUGGUGAUAUUUUUUGACUUAAAUUAUAAUUAGAAGUAUCUUUUGAAUAUUUUCUGGAUUAUUUAAGAAAUCUUCAUACUAUGUUAUCCAAAAUAGGAUGUUUUUAAAGAUAUUAAAUUUGCGUAA
Argiope bruennichi is the source of this 566-nucleotide long non-coding RNA. RefSeq lists it as uncharacterized. The transcript is spliced from 3 exons. The record is from RefSeq and is a predicted model, not a curated record. Lineage: Eukaryota; Metazoa; Arthropoda; Arachnida; Araneae; Araneidae.